UGCCGCUCCAUUUCUGUUGCGCCACCUCCGCCGGGCUCCGCCUCCACCGAGCCUCGUCCGCCGCCGCCGCCGUGUCCGCCUUCACUGCGACCCGAAGACGUCUCCCGUGAACGACACCGGACCCACGCCAUCCUCGCCACCGCCACCCCGAGCACCACCACAGCACCUCCCCGACUUCGGCCGCCAUCCCAACCGUCGCCUCCCUCAUCUUCUCUCCCCCUUG
This 223-nucleotide long non-coding RNA is filed under the name Phoenix dactylifera (date palm). RNAcentral describes it as "long non-coding RNA (PDAC_LNC013692)". The record is from RNAcentral. Lineage: Eukaryota; Viridiplantae; Streptophyta; Magnoliopsida; Arecales; Arecaceae.